UAUGAGAGUCCACCGAUUGUCCAGCUAGUUUUCAUCGGGGCAUCGGGGAUCAUCACGCUUGACUGCACCAUCGUUUCAAGUUAGCUAAGCGCGCAGCGGCUAACUCUCGCAGAGUAGAAGAUAAGGGAGGAACUCGGGCGAAGAAUCCCGAGGUUCUACGACAACAUGACUGCGGAGAUGCUGCAGUGGAUGCUGCGGAUGCCAAGGGUUUCCUUGAGUGCGAAAAGGAGAAAGAAGAAUGGUGGGGAAAUGAGAAGGCAUCGGACGACUUAAUUACGACCGCCGCAUUAUAUCCCCAUUCGCUAGCUUGAAAGUGCGAACCUCGUAAUUUGAUCAAAGCACCACUGUAAACAUCGUAGAUGCGCAAACGUGGAUGCGACUUGUUUUCUGUAGACUCAAGCAUCGUUGACAAACCGAUGAGUUCCAGCCAAACAUACGGAAAGAAGAAACCAGCACAUCCGGGAAGCAAUAAAAAGAAGACAGAUAG
Molecule: long non-coding RNA, 487 nt
Organism: Acromyrmex echinatior (Panamanian leafcutter ant)
Lineage: Eukaryota; Metazoa; Arthropoda; Insecta; Hymenoptera; Formicidae
Source: RefSeq, a predicted model, not a curated record